GGAGACCAAAAUAGGGUCCAACGCAUCCUGAGACCUCGAGCUGGUAACGUACAGGGAAGGUGAACAGUGAGUCAGCCCUUCCUUCCGCUAAGUCAACAUAGUGGCCUUAUUCCCAUCACUCCAGGCUGGGAAAGGACAAACAUACAAGAAAUGCUUUUAAUCACGGAAUAAGACUAAGCCUCAAGCCCCCUCAUCUGCCAAAGAGUGUGCUCUGCUGUCAAACCUCAAAGUCAUUGAGAAACAAACCCUGAUAAUCUCACCCAGCUUCAAGACCAAGGGAGUCCUAGUGUCAUGGAGAAGAGCAAGGAGGGGCCCAGGGCUGCCGCAGGACAUGCCACUCCAGACAGAACUCAACUUCCCUAGUGACUAUUGGCUAUCCAACCUCUCCUCCAGCACAGCAAGCAGAUGACAAUACUUGCAAGACAUGAUGUGUUAAAUUAAAAAACAUAGUCUAUUUAACAAAUUCUUUUAUAAAUUUUUCUGGAUUCUCUGGCCAAAUUUUUCCUUGUAUAAAACUAAAUCACACAUAGAAAAUGAAGAUAGAUGUCUACCAACUAGGAAGAGAGCCCUCACCAGGAACCAAAUCUGCUGACACCUGGAUCUUGAACUUCCCAGCCAACAGAAUUGUGAGGAAUAAAUGUAUGUAUUUUA
RNAcentral lists this long non-coding RNA (651 nucleotides) under Homo sapiens (human). RNAcentral's name for it is "long non-coding RNA NONHSAT163257.1". The record is from RNAcentral. Lineage: Eukaryota; Metazoa; Chordata; Mammalia; Primates; Hominidae.